RNAcentral lists this long non-coding RNA (202 nucleotides) under Glycine max (soybean). RNAcentral's name for it is "long non-coding RNA (GMAX_LNC002070)". Lineage: Eukaryota; Viridiplantae; Streptophyta; Magnoliopsida; Fabales; Fabaceae. The record is from RNAcentral.
AAUAAUUAAUAAUUCUAUUACUUAGUUAUACAUCGGAGGUUAGUUAAUUACUAAAACCACCUAAUAAUUAUUAUUAUUUUUUGGAGGUUUUGUGCUGCUUCCCGGUGUUGUCUCGCUUUAGAUGGGAACUUAUAUUAUUCAUCGUCAGACUUCAUUUGAAUUGCUUUAGCACUAUACAUCCCAACUUUUUGUUGUGUGCCCC